CGGGGAAAAUUAGUUUAACAUUUGGUCACGGUCAAAGCCGAGGCUAUCAAGUAUCAACCCAGGCUCCCGGCUCUGUCUCUCCCCACGCGCAUCCUUACUCGACGCUCUCUCUCCCGUACUACUCCCUUUCUCUCUCAAAACAAAGUAGCAACGCCGGAUGCAGCCGGCUCGAUCUACCACGCCCGGCCACCUCCGGCGCCAUAGUUGGCAUCCACAGAACCCCCUCAUCCUCCCCUACUCGUUCCCCACACUCAUCGCUACCGCCGCCGCCUGGAACGACCUCGCCACCAAACCCCAGCGCCAUCGUCCUCGGUUCCGGCAGGCUCGCCGCCGUCCCCGACAACGACGACUCCUACCUCCCUCCUUCCGCUCUCCAUCUACGCCGCCUCGUCCAACAAGGCACACGGCCAUGCCCCACAGUCAUGCCCUGUCAGGGGGCGGCCAUCACCGGCCGUACGGCUCGACGGACGACAGCCAUGGUCGACGUCGACGCCACCAGGGCCGGACCGAGAUCGCGGCCGAGGCAGCGCUACGGCAAGCGCGGUACCAGCGACAAUCUCCUACUGCUAAUCCUCCUCCGUGACUAAGUAAUCAGAGCUUGCACACACGCACACAGAGACUCUACAAGAUUAGAGUAAAAGCAACAUCAAGUGGCAUUGCUACUGCUGUACCUGAUCAAGCAGAGAUGCCCAACACAGGAAUGACUGGGUGAGGAGAUCAGAUGUGGUGGAGAAAGGGAUGGUCGGAGAGAGUGGAGUGUUUGGUCGAAAAUGCUGAAUAGUGAAAUGGACAGUCUAUUUAUAGUAGGGAGAGGCUAGGUCGGUUUAGCACAAUUUGUGCCAGGUGGGCUGCAUGCACAGCUUUGAUGUACAUGCGUGUGUACACUUGUAUCUUUUCUAGCUGUAAUUUUUACAAGUGGAUGAAAGUGAGCUGUUUGUGAGUUGGCUAUUACCUUGCCACUAAGAAAGUGUGGGCAGGGACUUAAUUGUAAAUUUCGAAAUUUCUAUUAGGGGCUGAAAAGUUAACCUGAUGUAUAUGAACUUGUAAGCAAAUAAUGCAAGGACUUUGGUGAUUGAAUUUUUUUU
Molecule: long non-coding RNA, 1085 nt
Organism: Lolium perenne
Lineage: Eukaryota; Viridiplantae; Streptophyta; Magnoliopsida; Poales; Poaceae
Source: RefSeq, a predicted model, not a curated record